AUUGAACGCUGGCGGCAUGCUUUACGCAUGCAAGUCGAACGGUAACAGGCCUUCGGGUGCUGACGAGUGGCGAACGGGUGAGUAAUGCAUCGGAACGUACCCAGAGGUGGGGGAUAACGCAGCGAAAGCUGUGCUAAUACCGCAUGUGAUCUGAGGAUGAAAGCGGGGGACCGAGCAGCAAUGUUUGGCCUCGCGCCUUUGGAGCGGCCGAUGUCGGAUUAGCUAGUUGGUGGGGUAAAGGCCUACCAAGGCGACGAUCCGUAGCUGGUCUGAGAGGACGACCAGCCACACUGGGACUGAGACACGGCCCAGACUCCUACGGGAGGCAGCAAUGGGGAAUUUUGGACAAUGGGCGCAAGCCUGAUCCAGCAAUGCCGCGUGCGGGAAGAAGGCCUUCGGGUUGUAAACCGCUUUUGGCAGGAACGAAACGGUGUCCGCUAAUACCGGGCGCUAAUGACGGUACCUGCAGAAUAAGCACCGGCUAACUACGUG
This 492-nucleotide ribosomal RNA is filed under the name uncultured bacterium. RNAcentral describes it as "partial 16S ribosomal RNA". It matches the Rfam family "Bacterial small subunit ribosomal RNA", at positions 29 to 507 of the family's 1533-position model. The record is from RNAcentral.